UCUCUGGAAUCUGACUUGUGCACAGUAGA
Molecule: non-coding RNA, 29 nt
Filed under: Rattus norvegicus (Norway rat)
Lineage: Eukaryota; Metazoa; Chordata; Mammalia; Rodentia; Muridae
Source: RNAcentral